GCCCGUCUAGCUUAGUUGGUAGAGCGCAAGACUCUUAACCUUGUGGUCGUUGGGUUCGAGGCCCCACGGUGGGCU
Cornus florida is the source of this 75-nucleotide non-coding RNA. The record is from the annotation of a RefSeq genome assembly. Lineage: Eukaryota; Viridiplantae; Streptophyta; Magnoliopsida; Cornales; Cornaceae.